Molecule: ribosomal RNA, 506 nt
Filed under: uncultured bacterium
Lineage: Bacteria
Description: partial 16S ribosomal RNA
Rfam family: Bacterial small subunit ribosomal RNA
Source: RNAcentral
AGUGAACGCUGGCGGUAGGCCUAACACAUGCAAGUCGAACGGCAGCACAGGAGAGCUUGCUCUCUGGGUGGCGAGUGGCGGACGGGUGAGGAAUACAUCGGAAUCUACUUUUUCGUGGGGGAUAACGUAGGGAAACUUACGCUAAUACCGCAUACGACCUACGGGUGAAAGCAGGGGACCUUCGGGCCUUGCGCGAUUGAAUGAGCCGAUGUCGGAUUAGCUAGGUGGCGGGGUAAAGGCCCACCAAGGCGACGAUCCGUAGCUGGUCUGAGGGGAGGAACAGCCACACUGGAACUGAGACACGGUCCAGACUCCUACGGGAGGCAGCAGUGGGGAAUAUUGGACAAUGGGCGCAAGCCUGAUCCAGCCAUACCGCGUGGGUGAAGAAGGCCUUCGGGUUGUAAAGCCCUUUUGUUGGGAAAGAAAUCCAGCUGGCUAAUACCCGGUUGGGAUGACGGUACCCAAAGAAUAAGCACCGGCUAACUUCGUGCCAGCCGCCGCGGUAA